This 307-nucleotide signal recognition particle RNA is filed under the name Helianthus annuus (common sunflower). Its description in RNAcentral is "sRNA HanXRQr2_Chr11g0516711". It matches the Rfam family "Plant signal recognition particle RNA". The record is from RNAcentral. Lineage: Eukaryota; Viridiplantae; Streptophyta; Magnoliopsida; Asterales; Asteraceae.
GCCGGGCUUGGUAACGCGAGCUUGUGACUCAAGUGAGGGCAUGAAAGUGGGCUGGACUGUGAUUGAGCCCAGUAUGGUUGGGUCAAGUUGUUGCAAUAUCUGGCCUGCCCGUUCCAAGUUUGGAGUUGUGUCAUGUGGUUCAGGCGAAGGCCUGGGCCAUGUGGCUCCUAGAGCUGAGGGCAAUGCGUUAGGCUGGUUUCACAGAGCUGCGAAAACUUCACGCUCUGAACAGUGGAAGGAUAACGGGUCGGUGCAUCGUUGGCCCAUAUAACCAUCUGGGUUCAUUCAAAUGAACUCCCACUUUUUU